GUGACUCUGGAGAAGCUCGACCACGAGUGCCGAAGGUGCAAAGCGGAAUUUCCGCCAAUCUCUCAGGCAAAAGGACAGAGACGA
RNAcentral lists this non-coding RNA (84 nucleotides) under uncultured Lawsonibacter sp. RNAcentral describes it as "Glycine riboswitch". It matches the Rfam family "Glycine riboswitch aptamer", at positions 6 to 89 of the family's 94-position model. From Rfam's summary of the family: This family represents the bacterial glycine riboswitch. Glycine riboswitches usually consist of two metabolite-binding aptamers domains with similar structures in tandem. Lineage: Bacteria; Bacillati; Bacillota; Clostridia; Eubacteriales; Oscillospiraceae. The record is from RNAcentral.